CUAGUGUCAGACUUGCUGAUGCACCACAGGAGGACAAGAAGAAAACCAGAACACUCAUCGCCCUUGAGAAACUAGAUAUGCUGUUGGCGAGAGUGAAAGAGAUAUUCAACACAGGAAAAUCAGACAUCAGUAACACAGACCAUCAAGGCCAGGAGAAUAACAACCUAAAGGAUGAAGUCAUGGUGGAGGAAAAGGAGACAGAUGGACAACUGAAUGGACAGAAAGAGAGAGAACUGGAAAGAGAAAAAAGAGGAGAGACAGAGAAAGGAAGUGAAGAAAAGAGGCCAGUCGACCAGGCAGGUCCACAGCCACUGGAAGGGGUGCAGAUUCUGGAAACUGUCCUUCAGAUUGCUGCAGAUGCAGCAACGCACAUUCUUGCAGCG
Molecule: long non-coding RNA, 383 nt
Filed under: Myripristis murdjan (pinecone soldierfish)
Lineage: Eukaryota; Metazoa; Chordata; Actinopteri; Holocentriformes; Holocentridae
Description: lncRNA (ENSMMDG00005018362.1)
Source: RNAcentral